This 720-nucleotide ribosomal RNA is filed under the name uncultured fungus. RNAcentral describes it as "SSU rRNA". It matches the Rfam family "Eukaryotic small subunit ribosomal RNA", at positions 334 to 1058 of the family's 1831-position model. Lineage: Eukaryota; Fungi. The record is from RNAcentral.
UAGAGGCCUACCAUGGUGGUAACGGGUAACGGGGUGUUAGGGCACGACACCGGAGAGGGAGCCUGAGAAACGGCUACCACAUCCAAGGAUGGCAGCAGGCGCGCAAACUACCCAAUCCCGACACGGGGAGGUAGUGACAAUAAAUAACAAUACGGGGUUCUUUCGGAUCUCGUAAUUGGAAUGAGUACAAUUUAAAUCUCUUAACGAGGAACAAUUGGAGGGCAAGUCUGGUGCCAGCAGCCGCGGUAAUUCCAGCUCCAAUAGCGUAUAUUAAAGUUGUUGCAGUUAAAAAGCUCGUAGUUGAAUUUCGGGGUUAGUAGGUUGGUCAUGCCUCUGGUAUGUACUGGUCUCACUGAUUCCUCCUUCCUGAUGAACCGUAAUGCCAUUAAUUUGGUGUUGCGGGGAAUUUGGACUGUUACUUUGAAAAAAUUAGAGUGUUUAAAGCAAGCUAACGCUUGAAUGCAUUAGCAUGGAAUAAUGAAAUAGGACGUUCGAUCCUAUUUUGUUGGUUUCUAGGAUUGACGUAAUGAUUAAUAGGGAUAGUUGGGGGCAUUAGUAUUCAAUUGUCAGAGGUGAAAUUCUUGGAUUUAUUGAAGACUAACUACUGCGAAAGCAUUUGCCAAGGAUGUUUUCAUUAAUCAAGAACGAAAGUUAGGGGAUCGAAGACGAUCAGAUACCGUCGUAGUCUUAACCAUAAACUAUGCCGACUAGGGAUCGGAU